RNAcentral lists this long non-coding RNA (598 nucleotides) under Androctonus crassicauda. Lineage: Eukaryota; Metazoa; Arthropoda; Arachnida; Scorpiones; Buthidae. The record is from RNAcentral.
CCUCACUAUGGCUUUCUUAUUGGCUGAGACUGAUUUGCCAGCAUUGGAUAUGGAUGUGUAUAUUGUUAAACAGUUCUUUGUCUCUAGCUUCAUUACUAGAGAUGAUAUAUACUCAUUCUUGGUUGCAUGUUCUAUAAUUACAUUUAACUCUCUAGUUUUUGCUUCAUAUAUUGUAUAUUCUGUCCUUAUGCACUGGAGAUUAAGUACAGAAUGGCAGCAAUAAAAGCACUUCUCUAGUGCAUAAGAACACACUGUACAACAAUAUAUACUGUAUAAUAAUACAGGAAACAAGAAAGUAUACAUCAGAAGUAUGAAGAGAAGUUUAAAAACAAGACUACUUGAACGUAAACAGGACAUAGUCAGUGAAAACUUGGACACCGUGCUUACACAAAGAUUUUAUGAAACAGAUCGCUCCAAAGACUGGUGGGGAAAAGCACGCAUUAUUAACCAUAUGAGAAAUGCUAAGGAGUUGAAACUUCCAGAAGCCUUUGAAAUAUAUAAUUGGAAAAAUAAAACAUACAUUAUGAAUGGACCGACUUCAGAAGUUAUACAUCUAGGCAAAUGAAAAUCAGUAACAUAACUAUGCUCCUUCCAUACC